UUACCUGGCCUUGACAUACUAAGAACUUCCAGAGAUGGAUUGGUGCCUUCGGGAACUUAGAUACAGGUGCUGCAUGGCUGUCGUCAGCUCGUGUCGUGAGAUGUUGGGUUAAGUCCCGCAACGAGCGCAACCCUUUUCCUUAUUUGCCAGCGGGUUAAGCCGGGAACUUUAAGGAUACUGCCAGUGACAAACUGGAGGAAGGCGGGGACGACGUCAAGUCAUCAUGGCCCUUACGGCCAGGGCUACACACGUGCUACAAUGGUCGGUACAAAGGGUUGCUACCUCGCGAGAGGAUGCUAAUCUCAAAAAGCCGAUCGUAGUCCGGAUCGCAGUCUGCAACUCGACUGCGUGAAGUCGGAAUCGCUAGUAAUCGCGGAUCAGAAUGCCGCGGUGAAUACGUUCCCGGGCCUUGUACACACCGCCCGUCACACCAUGGGAGUUUGUUGCACCAGAAGUAGGUAGUCUAACCGCAAGGAGGACGCUUACCACGGUGUGGCCGAUGACUGGGGUGAAGUCGUAACAAGGUAAGCGUAGAUGA
RNAcentral lists this ribosomal RNA (538 nucleotides) under uncultured bacterium. RNAcentral's name for it is "bacterial SSU rRNA". It matches the Rfam family "Bacterial small subunit ribosomal RNA", at positions 971 to 1509 of the family's 1533-position model. The record is from RNAcentral.